Etheostoma spectabile (orangethroat darter) is the source of this 88-nucleotide long non-coding RNA. RefSeq lists it as uncharacterized. Lineage: Eukaryota; Metazoa; Chordata; Actinopteri; Perciformes; Percidae. The transcript is spliced from 3 exons. The record is from RefSeq and is a predicted model, not a curated record.
AUUCCGCCACCAGUGGGACGUCGGACUAGUGGGCUGUAGGACAAAAGGGAAUUUUUCGGAAUAUUGAGAGGUUGGAAGAAUGGCGUGU